RNAcentral lists this transfer RNA (76 nucleotides) under Caudoviricetes sp. RNAcentral describes it as "tRNA-Gln". It matches the Rfam family "tRNA". Rfam says of the family: Transfer RNA (tRNA) molecules are approximately 80 nucleotides in length. The record is from RNAcentral. Lineage: Duplodnaviria; Heunggongvirae; Uroviricota; Caudoviricetes.
UGGGGAGUAGCCAAGUGGUUAAGGCAUUGGACUUUGACUCCAUGAUCGAGGGUUCGAUUCCCUCCUCCCCUGCCAA